AGUGAUUGUUGAAGUACCGGCCUMACCAAGGCAACGAUGCAUAGCCGACCUGAGAGGGUGAUCGGCCACAUUGGGACUGAGACACGGCCCAAACUCCUACGGGAGGCAGCAGUAGGGAAUCUUCGGCAAUGGACGCAAGUCUGACCGAGCAACGCCGCGUGAGUGAAGAAGGUUUUCGGAUCGUAAAACUCUGUUGUUAGAGAAGAACAAGGAUGAGAGUAGAAUGUUCAUCCCUUGACGGUAUCUAACCAGAAAGCCACGGCUAACUACGUGCCAGCAGCCGCGGUAAUACGUAGGUGGCAAGCGUUGUCCGGAUUUAUUGGGCGUAAAGCGAGCGCAGGCGGUUUCUUAAGUCUGAUGUGAAAGCCCCCGGCUCAACCGGGGAGGGUCAUUGGAAACUGGGAAACUUGAGUGCAGAAGAGGAGAGUGGAAUUCCAUGUGUAGCGGUGAAAUGCGUAGAUAUAUGGAGGAACACCAGUGGCGAAGGCGGCUCUCUGGUCUGUAACUGACGCUGAGGCUCGAAAGCGUGGGGAGCAAACAGGAUUAGAUACCCUGGUAGUCCACGCCGUAAACGAUGAGUGCUAAGUGUUGGAGGGUUUCCGCCCUUCAGUGCUGCAGCUAACGCAUUAAGCACUCCGCCUGGGGAGUACGACCGCAAGGGUG
Molecule: ribosomal RNA, 663 nt
Filed under: uncultured bacterium
Lineage: Bacteria
Description: bacterial SSU rRNA
Rfam family: Bacterial small subunit ribosomal RNA
Source: RNAcentral